RNAcentral lists this ribosomal RNA (253 nucleotides) under uncultured bacterium. Its description in RNAcentral is "partial 16S ribosomal RNA". It matches the Rfam family "Bacterial small subunit ribosomal RNA", at positions 524 to 776 of the family's 1533-position model. The record is from RNAcentral.
UACGUAGGUGGCAAGCGUUGUCCGGAUUUACUGGGCGUAAAGAGCGCGCAGGCGGUCGCUCAAGUCGCGUGUGAAAGCCCCCGGCUCAACUGGGGAGGGUCACGCGAUACUGAUCGACUGGAAGGCAGGAGAGGGUAGUGGAAUUCCCGGUGUAGUGGUGAAAUGCGUAGAUGUCGGGAGGAACACCAGUGGCGAAGGCGACUACCUGGCCUGUUCUUGACGCUGAGGCGCGAAAGCUAGGGGAGCAAACGGG